Small nucleolar RNA from Vulpes vulpes (red fox), 75 nucleotides. Lineage: Eukaryota; Metazoa; Chordata; Mammalia; Carnivora; Canidae. The record is from Ensembl.
UGGAUAAAUGAUGACAAGUGGUGGCAUGCAAGUCUUGGAUGAUGACCACUACAGGCCUGAAACUCUGGGGUCCAA